This 321-nucleotide long non-coding RNA is filed under the name Setaria viridis. RNAcentral's name for it is "long non-coding RNA (SVIR_LNC000159)". The record is from RNAcentral. Lineage: Eukaryota; Viridiplantae; Streptophyta; Magnoliopsida; Poales; Poaceae.
GCCGGCCUGGGCAUUUUUGUUUGCACAGAUAUGACACAUGGGGUGUGAUCAGAGAUGUCUCUGGAAAGAGCCAUAACCGUUGAGUUAGGGAAGGAAGUGGUCCAGGCAAUUGAAGUGAAAAACCAAUCCAGUCUCUCCAGGAGAGGAUUUCUCUGUUUGUUUGUCCAACUAAAUCUGCAUCCCUUUAGGGGCAAUUCGAUGAGUCGUAACUUGCUAAUAGCAUUGUUGAAAGCUAGCAUUUCUUGACAGUUGGCCCCUGGUUUAUUCCGAUCUUCCGGUCUUCUCAAGAGGUUAAAAUCUCCGACAAUCAGCCACUUAUCC